Molecule: ribosomal RNA, 380 nt
Filed under: uncultured bacterium
Lineage: Bacteria
Description: bacterial SSU rRNA
Rfam family: Bacterial small subunit ribosomal RNA
Source: RNAcentral
UACGGAGGAUCCAAGCGUUAUCCGGAUUUAUUGGGUUUAAAGGGUGCGUAGGCGGCCUAUUAAGUCAGGGGUGAAAGACGGUAGCUUAACUAUCGCAGUGCCUUUGAUACUGAUAGGCUUGAAUGAACUAGAGGUAGGCGGAAUGUGACAAGUAGCGGUGAAAUGCAUAGAUAUGUCACAGAACACCAAUUGCGAAGGCAGCUUACUAUGGUUUUAUUGACGCUGAGGCACGAAAGCGUGGGGAUCAAACAGGAUUAGAUACCCUGGUAGUCCACGCCCUAAACGAUGAACACUCGAUGUUAGCGAUAUACAGUUAGCGUCUAAGCGAAAGCGUUAAGUGUUCCACCUGGGGAGUACGCCCGCAAGGGUGAAACUCAAAG